AUCGAGGUCGAUAGAGACGAAGCCGGCGAACUUGCAGGCGGUGAGGUCAGGUUUGAGGCGUAUGCCGUAGCUUUUCGGGACAGCGAAUUUCGGGAGCCGAGCUUGACCUUUGAACUGUUCCAUAUUUUCAAGAUUCGGAAGCAGAAUGUUUAACGGCAUUUCCUCAAACAUGCAUUAUU
Long non-coding RNA from Juglans microcarpa x Juglans regia, 179 nucleotides. RefSeq lists it as uncharacterized. The record is from RefSeq and is a predicted model, not a curated record. Lineage: Eukaryota; Viridiplantae; Streptophyta; Magnoliopsida; Fagales; Juglandaceae. The transcript is spliced from 3 exons.